This is a long non-coding RNA of Hemicordylus capensis (graceful crag lizard), 845 nucleotides long. RefSeq lists it as uncharacterized. NCBI's taxonomy places the organism in Eukaryota, Metazoa, Chordata, Lepidosauria, Squamata, Cordylidae. The record is from RefSeq and is a predicted model, not a curated record. The transcript is spliced from 3 exons.
UUAGGAGUUUCCAACAUUCUCCUGAAGAUAUCAGGUUCAGUGUAAUUUACAAAUACCAACCAAAGAAAUUUGGGCAUGAGAAUGUUGAACAACUAUUGUUAAGAAUGGAGACUACUUUUAUAUAUAGAUUGAAUACAAUCAUCCAGUAUGGGCCCAAUUUGAUCUAAUUGGAGGUGUCCCCAGCUGGUAUGAAGCAUCCUAAUUGGUGCUGUGCUAUAUAUCUUCAAGCCCUUGAUGCUUGAAGGUUAGCAAGCUCCCCCCACCACACACACACCCCAAGGUAUAGGAGGAAAGGCUGCCUCCAUAAAGAUUUGUUUGUCCAGCUCAGGGAGGAGGAAAUUUGAAUAUUGUACUUCUCUGAAGAAGGACUAAUUCCGAAAUGGGCUCAAAAAUUCCGGGUUAGCCUAUAAGGACUUUUUUCACCAUUGCAAGACUUUAUUCUCAGGACUAUUUUGACCAUUGCAAGAAUUUAUUCUCAAACACAGAGAUAGGAAAUAAGUUUUUAUUCAAUUUUCUGAGAUGCUAUUUUUACAUAUGCAUGCGCAGAUACAAAUUGCAAGACAAUUGUUAUUGUUACUCAUUCAAGGAUUUUUUUCAUCAUUGCAAGACUUUAUUCUCAAUACAGAAAAGCAACAUGCUUUUUCACAUACUUAUGCUGUUCUUUCAAAUACAUGAAUGGUUGUGAAUUGAAUUUGUAUUCAUCCUCAACAAUGAUUUUUUGUUCAGUUUACUGAGAUGUAAUAUCUUUGACAUAUGUAUGUGCAGAUAUAACUUGCAAGACAAUUGUUAUUGCUAUUUAUUUACUCUAUGACUAUUAAUAUAGUAUCUUCAGUCACAGACAACAA